AAAUUUGUGAGUAAAGGCUGCGCAUGUCACAGUACGUGGAUAGUUAGCUGGGGGUGGCUGUCAGCCAGAUCUGGCUACAUUUUGCUUGAAGGACAGUCAACAAUUAGUUAGGCUGAAAUGAAGAUUCAAGUUUCGCUGCUGUUGGUGGCUAUCUCUUUGGCAGCUUCAGGUCGAGGCGAGACGACCACAACACGUGGGGGUGAAUCAACUACAACUGGCACAACAGAAAGCUCAGGAAAGGAAGGCGGGAAACCAGGAGGAAAUGGUCGAGGCGAGACGACCAUAACACGUGGGGGUGAAUCAACUACAACUGGCACAACAGAAAGCUCAGGAAAGGAAGGCGGGAAACCAGGAGGAAAUGGUCGAGGCGAGACGACAACAAGUGGGGAUGAAGCAACUACAACUGGCACAACAGAAAGCUCAGGAAAGGAAGGCGGGAAACCAGGAGGAAAUGCAAAAGGAGAUAACAUGACGACAACAGGAUCACCAGAUAACUCAAAUCCGACAAAUCCUGGAGAUCCGACCAAUCCCAAGGAUCCAUCAAAUCCUGGGGAUCCGACAAAGCCCACGGAUCCAUCAAAUCCUGGGGAUCCGACAAAGCCCACGGAUCCAUCAAAUCCUGGAGAUCUGACAAAGCCCACGGAUCCAUCAAAUCCUGGGGAUCCGACAAAGCCCAAGGAUCCAUCAAAUCCUGGGGAUCCGACAAAGCCCACGGAUCCAUCAAAUCCUGGAGAUCCGACAAAGCCCACGGAUCCAUCAAAUCCUGGAGAUCCGCCAAAGCCCACGGAUCCAUCAAAUCCUGGGGAUCCGACAAAUCCCACGGAUCCAUCAAAUCCUGCAGUUCCGCCAAAGCCCACGGAUCCAUCAAAUCCUGGAGACCCGACAAAGCCCACGGAUCCAUCAAAUCCUGGAGAUCCGCCAAAGCCCACGGAUCCAUCAAAUCCUGGAGAUCCGCCAAAGCCCACGGAUCCAUCAAAUCCUGGGGAUCCGACAAAUCCCACGGAUCCAUCAAAUCCUGGAGAUCCGCCAAAGCCCACGGAUCCAUCAAAUCCUGGGGAUCCGACAAAUCCCACGGAUCCAUCAAAUCCUGCAGUUCCGACAAACCCCAAGGAUCCAUCAAGUCCUGGAGACCCGACAAAUCCCAAGGAUCCAUCAAACCCUGGAGAUCCGACAAAUCCCACGGAUCCAUCAAAUCCUGCAGUUCCGACAAAUCCCAAGGAUCCAUCAAAUCCUGACGUAUCCACAGAAAAGACUCCGAAAGAGGGCAAGUUGAAUAAAAAAACUCUCAUCAUGGCAGUUGUAUUUGGGGGUACUGCCGCUGUUGUAACUGCCGUUGUGUUGGUAAUGGCGGUAAAGGCCGUCAUUACGGCAGGAAUGGGAGGAGGAGCAAAGGUAGCAGGUGCAGCGGGGGCAGCUUGAUAGAUCUCGCACCUGCACUUAUGCUGCAUUAGCACAUUAAUAUGUUCAUAUGUAUGUUAAAUAUUCAGGAUUUUUCAUAUCUUGCUGUAGCGGCAUGUUUGUCUCAGACGCCGUACUCCAUUGUGGCUUGGCGUGACUUUCACCGUCUCGGGAAGAAUAUGGUUAUGCGUAUCCAUUGUUUGCAUACGUAAGGAAAAGCACAUCAUUGAAAGAACUGCAAAUAAAACCGAUAAAACCAUUUCCAUAAUCAUAACAAAUCGUAAGGAAUGUUGCACCUGUCCGUUAGAUUAGCAAUGGUGCAAUCAAAGAGGAUAUAUGAUCCAGGGCCCCGUUACACAAAGCCAUCUUAGCGCUAAGGUGAUGGUAACUCCCAUACUUUAACACUGGCUUACGAUAGUCGUAGCGCUAAGAUAGCUUUAUGGAGCGGUGCCCUGGAGUGGUGGCUUUCAGUUUUCCGUUAUGUUUGACCUUACACAGAAAUGUAGUAUUGCAGUACAACUACAUGGAACUAUUUUUAAGUUGAUCAUAUUGAACAGAUUGGUUUUGCACGAUUCGCUUGUUUUGAUCAUAAUAGUAAAUCUAAACACUUCUUUUACAUUGCUGAUAAGACAAAUAUUUUUCCAUACAACGAAUUCGUUUGGCUGUUUAAUAUUUUGUACAGUUUUGUGUUCUGGCUACACAAGUGCCUUACGAGUUGUAUGCUGUUAUAUGCUGGUUACCAGGUACAUCUCUAAUAAGGACAUUUCAGGUGACCAGUUAAAACAACAUGGCCGCCUGGCAAUUGUCUGUCUUUAUCGGCGUCACCUGUAAACAUAUUCUCCUCUGCAACCAAUGGACCCACGAAACCGCAUCUGGGAUUUAGUUUUGUAGAGACAUACAUUUGAAAGCGUUUCUGGACAAUUAAAUAAAAUCAACUGAUUAAAGGCUGUUAUAAGGCACAGAGUUGAAACUUAAGUUCUGCAUUGCGAUAGUGUUAUACAAAUGUAACAGUGAGGUGAUGUGAAAUGGGGUUUAAUAGCGUCCAAUAGUAUUGCAAUUUUAUAGCGACGUGCAUGCACGUGUGUGUAGCUGCUUGCACUCGUCCAGACUAAUGCCGAUUUUAUAGUGCUAGCCCACUGAGGUACCAUGCCGCAGUUGAACAUGAAUACCCCACUCAGACACUGUAUACUGAAUCCAGACCGAAUAUUAUUUUUAACAAGUACCAUGUUUUAAUGUCUGUUGGGUUUGAGGCGGCCGAGGUUCGAAACCCCGGACCUUCCCCUCUCCGGGCGGACGAUCUACCACUAGAACACGGAGGCGGGAGAAACCCUUGUACUAUAAUAAUAAUAAUAAUAAUAAUAAUAAUAAUAAUAAUAAUAAUAAUAGAAACCUUAACAUACUUGUUUCGUAUUUGUCCAUUCAUCCUCAAUGUUCAUUCAAAGAUUUGCAUUGAUGUCUCGGUGAGGUUUAGUGACAAAGUCGACACAAUUUAUGGAUAACAGCUUCUUUAUUCUACUGUAAUAAAGUAUACUGCUAUUACAGUAUUAUUAACAAGUUAUUGUGUCUACGUUGCAAUCCGUAAACUUCAAAGAAAUGCCUAUCCAACAACUCAGCACGUCAAUAGUGAUUUGGCACGUUGUUUUUAUUUGUCACCAAAAAUAUAUGUACGUCUUUCAAAGCCCGGGAAACAUUUUCCCUUUAAUGUAUGCAUUGCUAUACCAAGGAAAGUAAGAGAGCCCAUCGCAGGAACUAACUGCUUCGUUCAAUAAAGAUGAUUUACAUAACAUUAGAUAUUUGAAUGUUCCCCGUAUAUACGUUCCCUUAAUUGACGCCAUCAGUAUAUAUAGGUGGGAUUUACUUAAAACGAUUUACCAAUUUGGUAAUUAUACAUCACUUCAAUGGAUGCUACACGGGGAGACAUAUGUAACCUUCACAUUAACAGUUUUCUCACAGAAAUAUCGAUCCUUUCAAAGAGAUAUUCACUUGAAAUACGGCAAACAGAUUCUCAUGCUAAUGCUUUUUGCACUCAGUACAUGUCUAUUCGUUUUGACAAAUGGAAGCUGUCCUUCCAUAAAGGUAGAUACAAUCGAGCAACACCUAUAUUUCUACAGUGUGUUUGAGUGAAAGAGUCGGGGGAAGAACCCCGCUUUGAACAUAACGUCAGUAACAUCAGAAGCUUCAAAGUAUUUCAGGUGGCAGAUCUUUAUUACUUAUGACACCAAUUCAGGCGUCUUUUAUGUUAACAGACGAAUUAGGUCGAAUCUGAUAUAUCAACAUUCCCGUGGAUUCUGGUGUGUAAGUUUUGUGACAGUAACAUCGACUUCUGGCAGCCGCUGAUUCAGGUACUGGUGCACUAGUUUAGACCGGUUAACCGUGAAGGUGCACUAUAUCAGACUGGUCAACGGUGAAGAUGAACUCGUUUAGACUUGUUGAGUGUGAAGGUGAACUAGUUUAGACCGGUUAACCGUGAAUGUACAUUAUAUCCGACGGGACUAGUUCCCCCGAGAGCACUGUAAAGAACUAAACGUUGGAAUUACGUGGUGAUCGAAUAACCCGCAGGUGUCCCAGCUCAGUCGGGACAAAAACAACUCCUCGGGCAUUGAGUAAGGAUUCAUGAUCGACUUAGUUGCCGUUACAACAUGUGUAAACAGAUCAAAGAUGACAUGUUGAUCGGCACUGGUGUAAAACAAAUAAUACAUUGUGCUGGUAUUUUAAAUGAGUCAUACUCUGAUAAAUCCCCCAUCUUGGUGUUAUGCAACCUAUAACAUUAGUUGAGUUUGUCACACGCGUGGAGCAAAGCAGAACUAUAUUUUGUGAAAUGUUAGAAAUCCUCUACUUUGUUCACAUUUAAUUGUUGUCAUAGUGUAGCUGGAUGGGUAGGUAGUUGUUCACUAUCAUGUGGUCUAAUUGUUUUAUUUAAUGUUUUUAUUCAAAUUGUGAUAAGAAAGCUCAGUGUGAUAUCUCCUUUAUAUGCUUGUAAAAUAUCGCAAUUUUGAAGGUAAGGCGAAUAUUUUGUCAGGAAGCUCAAUCAGUAAACUAUACAGAAAUUAUAUUUUGUGAUAUAAUCACCAUGACUCACAUAAAACGCAAAUGUUUACAAGCUAUGAUUCAAUGCCUGUUGAUUUGUUACAAAUUAAUUGUUACUCUUCUAUAUAAUUGUGCAUUAAACACUAUAAACACAGA
Molecule: unclassified non-coding RNA, 4581 nt
Filed under: Haliotis rufescens (red abalone)
Lineage: Eukaryota; Metazoa; Mollusca; Gastropoda; Lepetellida; Haliotidae
Description: sporozoite surface protein 2-like, transcript variant X1
Source: RNAcentral